AGGCCUCUGCUGUGUUCGAAAAGUAGGCUUAUUUGAAAAGAACCGAUACCCCAUUUGCGGGAACUGAUUCCAGGACGAUCCGAUAAGGGCGGCCGGUAAUUUCCCACCUUGUACAAUGGGUUCUUUCCAACGAGUCUAUCCGGCACCGAAGCGGAGGCUUU
RNAcentral lists this non-coding RNA (161 nucleotides) under Phycisphaerae bacterium. RNAcentral describes it as "6S RNA". It matches the Rfam family "6S / SsrS RNA". From Rfam's summary of the family: E. coli 6S RNA was the first non coding RNA to be sequenced, but its function was unknown until recently. It consists of 184 nucleotides that fold into an extended hairpin structure with a large single-stranded internal bulge. The 6S RNA specifically associates with RNA polymerase holoenzyme containing the sigma70 specificity factor. Lineage: Bacteria; Pseudomonadati; Planctomycetota; Phycisphaerae. The record is from RNAcentral.